UUUGUGGAGAGUUUGAUCCUGGCUCAGGACGAACGCUGGCGGCAUGCCUAACACAUGCAAGUCGAACGGAGCGAUGAAGUUUCGAUGGAUUCGCUUAGUGGCGGACGGGUGAGUAACGCGUGGAUAACCUGCCUGAGAGUGGGGGAUAACAGCCCGAAAGGGCUGCUAAUACCGCAUAAUGUUGUCUGGGGACAUCCCCGGACAACCAAAGGAGCAAUCCGCUCUUGGAUGGGUCCGCGUCCGAUUAGCUAGUUGGUGAGGUAAUAGCUCACCAAGGCGACGAUCGGUAGCCGGCCUGAGAGGGUGAACGGCCACACUGGGACUGAGACACGGCCCAGACUC
RNAcentral lists this ribosomal RNA (342 nucleotides) under Heliobacterium chlorum. Its description in RNAcentral is "bacterial SSU rRNA". It matches the Rfam family "Bacterial small subunit ribosomal RNA", at positions 1 to 338 of the family's 1533-position model. The record is from RNAcentral. Lineage: Bacteria; Bacillati; Bacillota; Clostridia; Eubacteriales; Heliobacteriaceae.